RNAcentral lists this unclassified non-coding RNA (278 nucleotides) under Melitaea cinxia (Glanville fritillary). Its description in RNAcentral is "misc RNA ENSMCXG00005017039.1". Lineage: Eukaryota; Metazoa; Arthropoda; Insecta; Lepidoptera; Nymphalidae. The record is from RNAcentral.
GCAGUGUCCCGGGCCGUUCGAGCCGAGCGCACGUGAGCCCGCGUGUGUACUGUGUCGCAGUGAGUGUUCUAUGUGUCCAGCGAGUAGCGAGCGCGGCGAAACGCCAGCGAUCCUCCGCGCUCGCUGAGAACGAGCGGCGUACGUUCGCUCCAGCGCGAUAAUCUGCCGAUAGUGAGGCGAUGUCGCCGAUUCUCUGAAGUUUGAGUUCAAAUACCUAAGUGGUGCGUGCACUAUGCGCACGAGCGUGUGGCGGCUGCACAUGAUCACCGCCGCGCUCU